GCGUAACAGAGUGAACAGCAUCAGAGUGGGUGUUCAAGAAUAGUCUCUGUAGAGUGACCGCAUGAGGAUAAGAAGUCAGCAAGAGGACAAGGAGCCAGCAAGAGGAGAUGCUUGGGAGGCCAGCCUUGGAAGGACUGAAGACAGAAGAGCUGCAGGCAGAGUUUGCCUUUUACUUGCCACAGUGGACGCAUGCUUGUGGUGAAAGGGCUCCAGGACCGCUUGGCUGGGAUGGUAACGCAGCGCACAGUGGCGGAGAGCUCAGAGACUAGGCCUGUCUGGAGGGUCCUGUAUGUGAGCUGAUCAUCCACCUCACAGCAGCCUUUCAGCUAUCACCCUCAUUUUACAGGCGAAGGAUAGGAAGUAGCUGAGGAAAAGAGAAUCAUCAUCCACUCCAUCUGGCAGAGUUCAGCAUAUGCUGCACUGGGAUUUUUGUAUUAAAAGAGCUGAAGAGAUUUUUUGAUUAGAAGGAUUAUUCUAGGAGUUUUCCACAAGGAAUCAGCAGCCUGUGGUUAUGUUCUGCACCUAUUAAAAGAUGGAGUUGUAAAACUGAUGUGUAUGUAAUCUCUUUUCAGGUUUCCAAGGCAACGGUGGCAGCAAUUCUGUGAAUAGCUCUUCCAUUUUUCCUUCAAGACUUUCAGGCUGUGAAAUUGUUUUGCUUUCAAAAACUAUUCUUUCUUUAAAAAAUAAUACAUGCAUUUAGAUUCAUUGUGAGAAGAUCUUUAUAAGUUAGGCAUAUUUCCAGGAUGUUAGUCCAAUAAGUAAACAGUUUUGCUACUAACAGGCUGUGCAAUUUUGGGUAAGCCAGUUAUCCUCCGUAAGUUUCAAUUCCUUCAUCUACAAAAUAUAAACAAAAAUCAUAUCUCUACAAUAGGGUUGUGAGAGAUGUAUGUGAAAUGUUUGGCACAAUCUAUGGCUUGUGAUUAUGAUUAGUGAUUGUUCUGAAUGAAAAUUUGGUCAGUUGGGAUGCCAGGUGAGGUUGUAACUGUUCAAAAUGAAGGCAAUGCCCCUUCAGCAUCAACAAAGUCUGUAGACAUGCCCCUCCUAUUAAUCCUGAUAUUGAAAAUGUGUGUUUUCUCAUUUUUUCCUAAGUGUUUGUUUGUAUCUUUGUAUUUAAAGUACAUCAUGUAUAAAUAGCAUGUAUUUGAGUUUUGUUUUGUUUACUCAAUAAAAAGUUCUGCCUUUAAUUUGAGUGUUUGCACC
Molecule: long non-coding RNA, 1200 nt
Filed under: Heterocephalus glaber (naked mole-rat)
Lineage: Eukaryota; Metazoa; Chordata; Mammalia; Rodentia; Bathyergidae
Description: lncRNA (ENSHGLG00000046154.1)
Source: RNAcentral